UUACCUAAGAGAUCAAUGGUGAUAAUUCAGAGAGGCAGUGUUGCUAUGCACUGCAAUGUUUCCCAGGUCAGAAAAGCACAUGCACAAGAUUUGCAGAACAUUAGAAGUUUGCAGAAGUCCCAUCUGAGGUCAAAACAACCUUGAGUCAGGAGCUGGCCUCCCGAUGGGAUGAUGUGUAGGGCCAAAUUCAGACCUGGUGCAAGCAGCUGCAAUUCUGCUGAUUUCACACUAGGUCUGAACUGGAUCCAAUGAUUUUGGCCCACAGCCAAGACAGAAAACUUUGAAGGAACAAGUCCUUUGGGUCUGUAAUCAUCAAGCAAUGAGCUCUGCUGCUUUGGAGAAAAGGUUUGUGCAGGCUCAAUGGCUGUGAUUGUACAGAUCAAGGAGAAACAGCCUCAGGAUAAGAUCAUGAUGAGCGUCCACAGCUUUCUUCACACCAGCACUCUCCCCUCCUAAGGGACACACAAGUCCAUUUCAGUCCCCCACCUUUCUAGCAAGACUAAACCAAAUGUAGGAAAUGCAAACAGAAAUAAGCUGUGGAGGUGGCCGAAUCGCAGAAAAAACAAACUUCUGCACUGCCCAAUUGGACAAAUGGCCCCAAUCAGAUGAGCCACACCUGAGAAACAAAACAGGGCUAAGGCUGUUAAUAAUUCACUACAAUGCAAACAGGCGAUUCCCCAGAGACGCCACACAUCCCACACACACUACAGAGGGUCCCCUCAGCAGGUCGAUUCCUGGACUACGUGCACGGAAGACAUCAGGACAGAAGGAGCAUCCACUGCACGCAGAGUGGCUUCAGGGGAGGUGGGCCAGCAUGUCAUUCCCAAGACAAGAAGCGUUCCAAAUUCUGGAAGACCUGGAGAGCCGGAUUCAGACAGACGCGUGGGCGCUUGGGGGGCUGGUGGUGAUCGGGUCGUUCUGCACAGUCUUCAUUGUCCUCCUCUUAUUUGCUGCCAUCUUUGGCUGCUGCUCAUCUCCAAAGCGCACAUAAUGCAUCACAAACAGCAAGGCCAGACACCACGACAGUUCACGAGUAGUAAGGCCAGACAAGAACUGUCUCAUCCACAACUGGAUGGCUGAAGGAAGCUUCCUCUUCUCGCCUCACAUGGUUACUUCUCCCUACCCAGAUGUACAGCAUUCACAAGCUGACAGCCCAUAUGUAAACGACCUCCUGCGAGGGCCACCCAUGCACUGUCAACUACAAAUCCACCGCAAGCUUGACAUGAUUCAGUCUGAAUUCAAAAACCACUGAUCGACUAAAUGCAAGGUAUCUGCUUGCCUGAAUCUCCCCCCCUCUCCCCAAGCAAAACCAUUGGGUUAGUCCAUGAAGUGAUCAAACAAUGUUUGAAGAUGGAAAAAGAAUCCCUUUAAGAACCCCACCAAGAAAGCCACCUUUCUCUUCUACUAUUUAGGAUGUGGGAGAAAUGAUCUCUCCAGAGGGAAUCAAGACAAACUUGAGAUGUGAAAACCCUUUCAGUACAAGCAGCUGAUGGAAAUAGUCUUCUGCCCUCCUUAGACAACAGAAAAACCUAUGCCUCCUUUGUUGCUGCUGUAAUUCAAGGCCUUUCAGGGUCAGGUUUUUUAGUUUAAAGAACAUAAAUAGAACAAUUAUCCUGGUUUAAAAUUAAAAGGAACAAAUAAAUGGAAAAAUAUGUUGUGCCUUUAAAUAGUAUCUUAAUCAGGAGCCUUCUCCAACUGCUGUAAAGUUAUAGCACACAGCAGACAAGCCCAAAGAGACGCCCUGAAGUGAUACAUGCAGUCUCAGCAAGUUUCUAUCCUGGGAUGAUAUGUGGCACGUGAAAGGUCAGAAGGUGGUGGGGUCUGGGGAAGUUAUGGACAGGAAGUUGUAGACGUACAGAUGGCAGCUACUUUAAGCCUUUGAUAUGAAGGGAUCAGCAUUCCCCAGCCUAUAAACUUGCAGACAGAAAGGGGACCACUGCAUUUUUAAAUGCCCCAUGCAACAGGUGCAAUACUGUUUCCUAACAGCCUCAUUCAUGGGAGCAAAGAAAGUCCAUUGGCUCCAUGUGCACUUUUACUGGAAGGAUUUUCUAUGCCCCUUUUUUUUUCCAAUAGAACAAAAGGGUCCCAGCUGACACUCUUACUAACAGACUCAACAUUGAGAAAACGAGGAGAAGGCGAUAUGGAGGUUGAGUUGCUUAAAUUUCUUUAUCCACUGAAGGAAAACUUUACAUAUCAAGUGGUUAUGCAAGUGCCUGACAAUCAAGGUGUAGCCUGAAGGAUGGCAACAAGAGGUGGAGAGGUUUAGCUGCAUAAGCUGAUCAGUCUUAGACUAGGGAGCUUCCCAGAAGCCCUCUGGUAGAGUCAACUUAUCUGUAGCCAAUGGAGCAUCAUUUCAAUCGACUUCAACCUUUAUGGUCAGACCUCAGCACAACAGGUGAAAGUCUUUCAAAGUACCUAUAAAGCAGAUCUUCUCCGUCAAAACAGAACUGAAGGCAACAGCUUUGCUGUGGCAGCAGCACCGAAAAACUAAACGCACCAUUUCCACUCUGAGCCUCAAACUCCCUCGAGUUCAGCCCAACAUAAUAAAAAUAGAUGCAAGGCUACGGUGGAGGAGGACAGAUGUUGAUUUUCCAGUUCGCAAUCACACACUGCUCUCUUAUUGGCAAAAUUAAAGCCUUGCUGUCUCCAGCUAGCACAACAUGGCAAUCAGCACAAUUACAGCCUCCUCAGAUCAA
Long non-coding RNA from Alligator mississippiensis (American alligator), 2696 nucleotides. RefSeq lists it as uncharacterized. The transcript is spliced from 2 exons. NCBI's taxonomy places the organism in Eukaryota, Metazoa, Chordata, Crocodylia, Alligatoridae. The record is from RefSeq and is a predicted model, not a curated record.